AAAACGACUCUCGGCAACGGAUAUCUCGGCUCUCGCAUCGAUGAAGAACGCAGCGAAAUGCGAUACUUGGUGUGAAUUGCAGAAUCCCGCGAACCAUCGAGUCUUUGAACGCAAGUUGCGCCCGAAGGCUUUCGGCCGAGGGCACGUCUGCCUGGGUGUCACG
RNAcentral lists this ribosomal RNA (163 nucleotides) under Jatropha curcas. RNAcentral describes it as "5.8S ribosomal RNA". It matches the Rfam family "5.8S ribosomal RNA". From Rfam's summary of the family: 5.8S ribosomal RNA (5.8S rRNA) is a component of the large subunit of the eukaryotic ribosome. It is transcribed by RNA polymerase I as part of the 45S precursor that also contains 18S and 28S rRNA. Functionally, it is thought that 5.8S rRNA may be involved in ribosome translocation. Lineage: Eukaryota; Viridiplantae; Streptophyta; Magnoliopsida; Malpighiales; Euphorbiaceae. The record is from RNAcentral.